Molecule: ribosomal RNA, 686 nt
Filed under: uncultured bacterium
Lineage: Bacteria
Description: bacterial SSU rRNA
Rfam family: Bacterial small subunit ribosomal RNA
Source: RNAcentral
AGAGUUUGAUCCUGGCUCAGAUUGAACGCUGGCGGCAUGCCUUACACAUGCAAGUCGAACGGCAGCGGGGACUUCGGUCCGCCGGCGAGUGGCGAACGGGUGAGUAAUAUAUCGGAACGUACCUUUCAGUGGGGGAUAACGUACGAAAGUUACGCUAAUACCGCAUACGUCCUGAGGGAGAAAGCGGGGGAUCGCAAGACCUCGCGCGAUUGNAGUGGCCGAUGUCAGAUUAGCUAGUUGGUGGGGUAAAGGCCUACCAAGGCAACGAUCUGUAGCUGGUCUGAGAGGAUGAUCAGCCACACUGGGACUGAGACACGGCCCAGACUCCUACGGGAGGCAGCAGUGGGGAAUUUUGGACAAUGGGGGCAACCCUGAUCCAGCCAUUCCGCGUGAGUGAAAGAAGGCCUUCGGGUUGUAAAGCUCUUUCGGCAGGAACGAAACGGUGAGCUCUAACAUAGCUUGCUAAUGACGGUACCUGAAGAAGAAGCACCGGCUAACUACGUGCCAGCAGCCGCGGUAAUACGUACGGGUGCGAGCGUUAAUCGGAAUUACUGGGCGUAAAGCGUGCGCGCGCGGUUGUGUACGACAGGUGUGAAAUCCCCCGGCUUACUUGGACUGCGCUUGUACUGCACGGCUAGUUUUGCCGACGGGGGUGCAUUCCCUGUUGCACUCGCUNCUUCGAGAUU